GCCACAAUAUUAUCCGAGACACCACAAUGAGGUGAGCGCGUGAAGUGCAUCAACAAGUUGGCUAGAUUGCCUAACAGAUAAUUCAUGAAAUGGGUAAAAACUUCUCUCUUCUAUCCUCAGAUAUAUACAGCAUUGAGCAAUAUGAGAGAACAUAAGGGCACACAAGUGGC
Molecule: long non-coding RNA, 170 nt
Organism: Lolium rigidum
Lineage: Eukaryota; Viridiplantae; Streptophyta; Magnoliopsida; Poales; Poaceae
Exons: 3
Source: RefSeq, a predicted model, not a curated record